RNAcentral lists this ribosomal RNA (907 nucleotides) under Distoseptispora chiangraiensis. Its description in RNAcentral is "SSU rRNA". It matches the Rfam family "Eukaryotic small subunit ribosomal RNA", at positions 66 to 984 of the family's 1831-position model. Lineage: Eukaryota; Fungi; Ascomycota; Sordariomycetes; Distoseptisporaceae. The record is from RNAcentral.
UAAGCAUUAUACGGCGAAACUGCGAAUGGCUCAUUAAAUCAGUUAUCGUUUAUUUGAUAGCACCUUACUACAUGGAUAACCGUGGUAAUUCUAGAGCUAAUACAUGCUGAAAAUCCCGACUUCGGAAGGGAUGUAUUUAUUAGAUUAAAAACCAAUGCCCUCCGGGGCUCACUGGUGAUUCAUAAUAACUUCUCGAAUCGCAUGGCCUUGCGCCGGCGAUGGUUCAUUCAAAUUUCUGCCCUAUCAACUUUCGACUGCUGGGUCUUGGCCAGCAAUGGUGACAACGGGUAACGGAGGGUUAGGGCUCGACCCCGGAGAAGGAGCCUGAGAAACGGCUACUACAUCCAAGGAAGGCAGCAGGCGCGCAAAUUACCCAAUCCCGACACGGGGAGGUAGUGACAAUAAAUACUGAUACAGGGCUCUUUUGGGUCUUGUAAUUGGAAUGAGUACAAUUUAAAUCCCUUAACGAGGAACAAUUGGAGGGCAAGUCUGGUGCCAGCAGCCGCGGUAAUUCCAGCUCCAAUAGCGUAUAUUAAAGUUGUUGCAGUUAAAAAGCUCGUAGUUGAACCUUGGGCCUGGCCGGCCGGUCCGCCUCACCGCGUGCACUGGUUCGGCCGGGCCUUUUCCUCUGGCGAGCCCCAUGCCCUUCACUGGGCGUGUGGGGGAACCAGGACUUUUACUUUGAAAAAAUUAGAGUGUUCAAAGCAGGCCUAUGCUCGAAUACAUUAGCAUGGAAUAAUAGAAUAGGACGUGCGGUUCUAUUUUGUUGGUUUCUAGGACCGCCGUAAUGAUUAAUAGGGACAGUCGGGGGCAUCAGUAUUCAAUUGUCAGAGGUGAAAUUCUUGGAUUUAUUGAAGACUAACUACUGCGAAAGCAUUUGCCAAGGAUGUUUUCAUUAAUCAGGAAC